UAUAUCCUACGGGACGCAGCAGUGGGGAAUAUUGGGCAAUGGGCGCAAGCCUGACCCAGCAACGCCGCGUGAAGGAAGAAGGCUUUCGGGUUGUAAACUUCUUUUGUCAGGGACGAAGCAAGUGACGGUACCUGACGAAUAAGCCACGGCUAACUACGUGCCAGCAGCCGCGGUAAUACGUAGGUGGCAAGCGUUAUCCGGAUUUAUUGGGUGUAAAGGGCGUGUAGGCGGGAAUGCAAGUCAGAUGUGACAACUAUGGGCUCAACCCGUAGACUGCAUUUGAAACUGUAUUUCUUGAGUGCUGG
RNAcentral lists this ribosomal RNA (305 nucleotides) under uncultured bacterium. Its description in RNAcentral is "bacterial SSU rRNA". It matches the Rfam family "Bacterial small subunit ribosomal RNA", at positions 333 to 652 of the family's 1533-position model. The record is from RNAcentral.